RNAcentral lists this ribosomal RNA (380 nucleotides) under uncultured cyanobacterium. RNAcentral describes it as "bacterial SSU rRNA". It matches the Rfam family "Bacterial small subunit ribosomal RNA", at positions 30 to 421 of the family's 1533-position model. Lineage: Bacteria; Bacillati; Cyanobacteriota. The record is from RNAcentral.
AUUGAACGCUGGCGGCAGGCCUAACACAUGCAAGUCGAGCGGUAACAUUUCUAGCUUGCUAGAAGAUGACGAGCGGCGGACGGGUGAGUAACGCGUGAGAAUCUGGCUGUGGGUCGGGGACAACCACUGGAAACGGUGGCUAAUACCGGAUGAGCCGAAAGGUAAAGAUUUAUUGCCCACAGAUGAGCUCGCGUCUGAUUAGCUAGUUGGUAAGGUAAAAGCGUACCAAGGCGACGAUCAGUAGCUGGUCUGAGAGGAUGAGCAGCCACACUGGGACUGAGACACGGCCCAGACUCCUACGGGAGGCAGCAGUGGGGAAUUUCCGCAAAUGGGCGAAAAGCCUGACGGAGCAAGACCGCGUGGGGGAGGAAGGUUUUUGG